This 503-nucleotide ribosomal RNA is filed under the name uncultured bacterium. RNAcentral describes it as "bacterial SSU rRNA". It matches the Rfam family "Bacterial small subunit ribosomal RNA", at positions 29 to 524 of the family's 1533-position model. The record is from RNAcentral.
AUUGAACGCUGGCGGCGUGCCUAACACAUGCAAGUCGAGCGGUAACAGGUGUAGCAAUACAUGCUGACGAGCGGCGGACGGGUGAGUAACGCUUGGGAAUCUGCCUAUUAGUGGGGGACAACCCGGGGAAACUCGGGCUAAUACCGCAUACGCACUACGGUGGAAAGCCGGGGACCGCAAGGCCUGGCGCUAACAGAUGAGCCCAAGUCGGAUUAGCUAGUUGGUAGGGUAACGGCCUACCAAGGCGACGAUCCGUAACUGGUCUGAGAGGACGACCAGUCACACCGGAACUGAGACACGGUCCGGACUCCUACGGGAGGCAGCAGUGGGGAAUAUUGGACAAUGGGCGAAAGCCUGAUCCAGCGACGCCGCGUGGGUGAAGAAGGCCUGCGGGUUGUAAAGCCCUUUCAGUGGGGAAGAAAAGCCUCGAGCUAACACCUCGGGGUCUUGGCGUAACCCAUAGAAGAAGCACCGGCUAACUCUGUGCCAGCCGCCGCAGUAAU